RNAcentral lists this ribosomal RNA (254 nucleotides) under uncultured bacterium. Its description in RNAcentral is "partial 16S ribosomal RNA". It matches the Rfam family "Bacterial small subunit ribosomal RNA", at positions 524 to 776 of the family's 1533-position model. The record is from RNAcentral.
UACGGGGGGAGCAAGCGUUGUUCGGAUUUACUGGGCGUAAAGGGCGCGUAGGCGGUCAGCACAAGUCAGUUGUGAAAUCUCCGGGCUUAACUCGGAAAGGUCAACUGAUACUGUGCGACUAGAGUGCGGAAGGGGCAACUGGAAUUCUCGGUGUAGCGGUGAAAUGCGUAGAUAUCGAGAGGAACACCAGCGGCGAAGGCGCUUUUCUGGGACAUUACUGACGCUAAAUUGCGAAAGCUAGGGGAGCAAACAGA